Long non-coding RNA from Magnolia sinica, 315 nucleotides. RefSeq lists it as uncharacterized. NCBI's taxonomy places the organism in Eukaryota, Viridiplantae, Streptophyta, Magnoliopsida, Magnoliales, Magnoliaceae. The record is from RefSeq and is a predicted model, not a curated record. The transcript is spliced from 2 exons.
AAAUAAAAAAUGCUAGGGGCCCGUUGUGAUGUUUUUGCAGAUGUGUCUCCCACACCAUCAGUUGAUCAGCCUGAUUGACAGAACUGCUAAGGAUUGCAUCUUUGCAACAUCUGAAAGGAUUGCUAGGGAUAGUUCAUUUCACUACUAAGAUGGGAUUCUAAAACAAAUGGGCGCCAUGGCUAUCAAGUACAUACGUCAUGGUGGACCCCACGGCAUGGGACACAUGUUGUGUGGACAGCAUUGCCCACAAAUGUGGGCCCCAUACAAACAUCUCGGUGGGGCCUAAGGAAGGCUACAAAGGUGGACGUCCACCCA